Molecule: long non-coding RNA, 835 nt
Organism: Homarus americanus (American lobster)
Lineage: Eukaryota; Metazoa; Arthropoda; Malacostraca; Decapoda; Nephropidae
Exons: 3
Source: RefSeq, a predicted model, not a curated record
AGCAAUAUCUGUGUUAUUCUCUACCGGAAGUUCUGAUUUUCUUUUGAAAUAUCUCACAGUUGUUGUGUACCUGGUUUUGGGACAAGGGCGACAAGUUUCCGGUUCCCUCAACUCCCCAAGGUCAACAAAUGAAGUGGAAAUGGCGCGUAGAGAUCAUGCGAGCAGCUUCCUCGGUGGAUGGCCAGCAGCCCAAUAGAGACAUGACAGAGUAUACACUGAACAUUUUCUGUUCAGUUAUUUCAAGGACAAUUGAAUGAUACAGUAUAUAAUAAUGUAUCCAGUCACUUUGUUGUCAAGAUCACCCCUUGGUACAGGAGAUAAGACUUGGACCUCCUGUUGUGUUGAUGCCAGACGAGUACUGUACAUAAUAGUCUGAUCACCUUCAAGAAAGAUGAAGAGAUCAUUUUGUCGUCUAGUUCCCAUUGCCACCACCAGUGAGGGCCAGAAUGUACAUGAAGAGGUUGACCACAUCCAGGUACAGGUUGAGGGCAGCAAAAACGUACUCCUCGGGGGAGAUGGCCAGCUUAUGGUUGCCGCCCAACAUGAUCUGUGUGUCAAAAACUAAGUAGGCAGAGAAGAGGAGAGCACCCAAGCAGGCAUACAUUAUGUUCAGCACUUUGCUCUGGAAGAUGGCUGCGAAGAUGCCGAACAUGAGUAGUGAGAUGAGCAAGACGAACAGAAGCCCGCUCUUCAUCGUGAAGUCCCACUUUGUCUGCCAAUGUAAGAAGUUUUCAUUUUAAAAUUGCUCAGAUGUAGCUCCCAUCAAUAAUGAUAUCUGAACCUGACUCCUAAGAUUCCAGUAAAUAUGACAAGAGAAUAAAUAAGAGAAGCUGGA